GCAAUAUGUCUAACUCCUCAAAAGCAUAAUAAUCGUGAUAUAUAUGUCAGGGCUUGGAUGUCUUGCUCCAUAGCCCUGCUCUGAUGGCAGGCACGUGGCGUCUCUUAGAGUGGCUCUGUUUGAUACCGGCAGCCUUCCUUGGCAGAUGCUCUUCAACAUUUGGGGGUCUCCAUUACAACGUAGGUUCCACAUUCAUAGUUCCACUUAUUGACAUCUUGGGGGCUCCCUGCAGGGAAUUCUAUUUUAUUAUACACUGGCUAGCCUUACAGUCUUUUUCUUUCAAAAAAAGAACCUGUGGGUAAACUCUCUUGACCCUUUAAUUCCUGUGUGCUGUGUGCCAUGUGGGCAACACUGAGUUCUCCUGCAGCUGGAGAAGUAUCUUGCCCUGAUUGAACCCUAGUUGCAGCAACCUCUGAAUGCUAGGAAAACAUCCUAGGUAGCCCCUUUACUGCAUGGUGCCUUGGAAGCAUGCUAACUUAAAAUUGUAUGUAUGCAUGUGCAGAUGUGUGUUUAUCUGUGUAUCUGCGGGGGUGCAUGUAUACGUGUGUGGUUUGUGUAUGUGCCUGUGUAUGUGCAUCUGUGUAUGUAUGUGUGUGCAUGUGUGUUCAUGUUUGUGGUGUGUGUGUGUGUGUGUGUGUGUGUGUGUGUGUGGUGUCUGGUAUCUGUAUGUGCUGUACAUGAGUGUGUAUGUGUAUGUGUGGGUGAAUAUGUCUCUGCUGUGUGCAUGUAUGUGUAUGUGUG
Molecule: long non-coding RNA, 741 nt
Filed under: Rattus norvegicus (Norway rat)
Lineage: Eukaryota; Metazoa; Chordata; Mammalia; Rodentia; Muridae
Description: long non-coding RNA NONRATT002111
Source: RNAcentral